RNAcentral lists this ribosomal RNA (253 nucleotides) under uncultured bacterium. RNAcentral's name for it is "partial 16S ribosomal RNA". It matches the Rfam family "Bacterial small subunit ribosomal RNA", at positions 524 to 776 of the family's 1533-position model. The record is from RNAcentral.
UACGUAGGGACCGAGCGUUGUCCGGAAUCAUUGGGCGUAAAGAGCGUGUAGGCGGCCACUUAAGUCCUGCGUGAAAUCUUGCGGUUCAACCGCAAGCGGUCGUGGGAAACUGGGUGGCUAGAGUGCGGGAGAGGAGAGUGGAAUUCCUGGUGUAGCGGUGGAAUGCGCAGAUAUCAGGAAGAACACGCGUGGCGAAGGCGGCUCUCUGGAACGCAACUGACGCUGAGACGCGAAAGCGUGGGGAGCAAACAGG